This 551-nucleotide ribosomal RNA is filed under the name uncultured bacterium. RNAcentral describes it as "bacterial SSU rRNA". It matches the Rfam family "Bacterial small subunit ribosomal RNA", at positions 355 to 896 of the family's 1533-position model. The record is from RNAcentral.
UAGGGAAUCUUCCGCAAUGGACGCAAGUCUGACGGAGCAACGCCGCGUGAGUGAAGAAGGUUUUCGGAUCGUAAAACUCUGUUGUUAGAGAAGAACAAGUGCUAGAGUAACUGUUAGCGCCUUGACGGUAUCUAACCAGAAAGCCACGGCUAACUACGUGCCAGCAGCCGCGGUAAUACGUAGGUGGCAAGCGUUGUCCGGAUUUAUUGGGCGUAAAGCGAGCGCAGGCGGUUCCUUAAGUCUGAUGUGAAAGCCCCCGGCUCAACCGGGGAGGGUCAUUGGGAACUGGGGAACUUGAGUGCAGAAGAGGAGAGUGGAAUUCCAUGUGUAGCGGUGAAAUGCGUAGAUAUAUGGAGGAACACCAGUGGCGAAGGCGACUCUCUGGUCUGUAACUGACGCUGAGGCUCGAAAGCGUGGGUAGCAAACAGGAUUAGAUACCCUGGUGGUCCACGCCGUAAACGAUGAGUGCUAAGUGUUGGAGGGUUUCCGCCCUUCAGUGCUGCAGUUAACGCAUUAAGCACUCCGCCUGGGGAGUAACGACCGCAAGGUUG